RNAcentral lists this long non-coding RNA (324 nucleotides) under Nicotiana benthamiana. RNAcentral's name for it is "long non-coding RNA (NBEN_LNC008655)". The record is from RNAcentral. Lineage: Eukaryota; Viridiplantae; Streptophyta; Magnoliopsida; Solanales; Solanaceae.
GUACAGUCAAGAGAAAUAAUCAUGAGUAACCCCCGUAAUUUUCUUAAUAUACUAUCAGAAAGAGUAUUAACAGAUUCUAAUGAACUAAAAAAUAGUUUUCCACUGUCAGGAGACUUGCCAACAGUACGCGGACAUGCCAACAGCACAGUGGAGACAUCCUGAAGCAUAAACAAACAAUCAAGUCGCCAACAGUACCCGGACAUGCCAACAGCACAGUGGAGACAUCCUGAAGCAUAAACAAACAAUCAAGUAGCUGGUUGAAUGAACAUGAAACUCCAAACAUUGAUGCAUGAAACGUGUUCUGUGGAACUCCUACAUCAGACC